RNAcentral lists this ribosomal RNA (345 nucleotides) under uncultured eukaryote. Its description in RNAcentral is "SSU rRNA". It matches the Rfam family "Eukaryotic small subunit ribosomal RNA", at positions 594 to 945 of the family's 1831-position model. The record is from RNAcentral.
AUAGCGUAUAUUAAAGUUGUUGCAGUUAAAAAGCUCGUAGUUGAAACUUGGGCCUGGCUGGCGGGUCCGCCUCACCGCGUGCACUCGUCCGGCCGGGCCUUCCUUCUGAAGAACCUCAUGCCCUUCACUGGGCGUGCUGGGGAAUCAGGACUUUUACUUUGAAAAAAUUAGAGUGUUCAAAGCAGGCCUUUGCUCGAAUACGUUAGCAUGGAAUAAUAAAAUAGGGCGUGCGUUUCUAUUUUGUUGGUUUCUAGAGACGCCGCAAUGAUUAACAGGAACAGUCGGGGGCAUCAGUAUUCAGUUGUCAGAGGUGAAAUUCUUGGAUUUACUGAAGACUAACUACUG